RNAcentral lists this long non-coding RNA (546 nucleotides) under Drosophila guanche. The record is from RNAcentral. Lineage: Eukaryota; Metazoa; Arthropoda; Insecta; Diptera; Drosophilidae.
GUGUAGCAAUAUAUUUCAUUUGAUCAAGAAGCUACUGUUUCUCGAGACAAAUCCAUGGUCUGUUUGCGGACAAAGCCGUGGCAUUGUCCAUCCAUCCGUUCGAUCGUUCGGACGAAAACGGAUGCUUUUGUUGUCACCUAGUUAUCGGGUAUCGAAUUUCCAGUGACGUACAUAUAUUUGAUUAACACCCAGUUUUAUUUUCAGGGGGUUUCUGUUUAUGGCUCUGUUAUUUGAUUUGGUUAUUUAAUACGUUUUUGCCGCCUGAGUAGCCGGAACUAAAGUGAAGUGCAUUUAUGGCCAGGCCAAGACUUUCUUUACUUAGAAAAGCAUAAACUUUUGAUGGAUGGCAUUUCUUGUCAGAGUUAUUUGAGUAUAUAAAGCUAUGGUCGUAAGAGGUUGUGUAAAUAGAAUGGAGUUUGAAGUGUUGUGAAAAUUCGUAAGCAUGCUGGAUGCGAAGAAUUUAAGAGUUGUGUGAAAUUUAAAUAGUUUAAGCUAAAGACUAUACAACACCAUAUGAAAAGUUUGUCAAAAGAGAGAAGGUUGCAC